GUACAAGUGAUGCAAACACAACAGUAUGAGAAAAACAAUGAUACUGUAAACGCUUUCUGAUGUA
RNAcentral lists this small nucleolar RNA (64 nucleotides) under Pelusios castaneus (West African mud turtle). RNAcentral describes it as "Small nucleolar RNA Z39 (ENSPCEG00000008662.1)". It matches the Rfam family "Small nucleolar RNA Z39". Rfam says of the family: Z39 is a member of the C/D class of snoRNA which contain the C (UGAUGA) and D (CUGA) box motifs. Lineage: Eukaryota; Metazoa; Chordata; Testudines; Pelomedusidae. The record is from Rfam by way of RNAcentral.